GAUGAACGCUGGCGGCGUGCCUAAUACAUGCAAGUCGAGCGGUAAGGUUUCCACUCUGUGCUUAAGUAAAACUUGAGCGUGGUGUGGAAAUACACGAGCGGCGGACGGCUGAGUAACACGUAGGAACGUACCCCAAACUGAGGGAUAACUGCUCGAAAGAGUAGCUAAUACCGCAUGUGCUCCUCGGAGUAAAGCUACGGCGGUUUGGGAACGGCCUGCGCAUGAUUAGCUUGUUGGUGAGGUAAUGGCUCACCAAGGCGACGAUCAUUAGCUGGUCUGAGAGGAUGACCAGCCAGACUGGAACUGAGAACGGUCCAGACUCCUACGGGAGGCAGCAGUAGGGAAUCUUCCACAAUGGGCGAAAGCCUGAUGGAGCAACGCCGCGUGCAGGAUGAAUGCCUUCGGGUUGUAAACUGCUUUUAUAUGUGACGAUUAUGACGGUAGCAUAUGAAUAAGGAUGGCUAACUCCG
This 470-nucleotide ribosomal RNA is filed under the name uncultured bacterium. RNAcentral describes it as "bacterial SSU rRNA". It matches the Rfam family "Bacterial small subunit ribosomal RNA", at positions 28 to 505 of the family's 1533-position model. The record is from RNAcentral.